RNAcentral lists this ribosomal RNA (448 nucleotides) under Clostridioides difficile. RNAcentral's name for it is "bacterial SSU rRNA". It matches the Rfam family "Bacterial small subunit ribosomal RNA", at positions 1 to 456 of the family's 1533-position model. The record is from RNAcentral. Lineage: Bacteria; Bacillati; Bacillota; Clostridia; Peptostreptococcales; Peptostreptococcaceae.
UUUUAUUUGAGAGUUUGAUCCUGGCUCAGGAUGAACGCUGGCGGCGUGCCUAACACAUGCAAGUUGAGCGAUUUACUUCGGUAAAGAGCGGCGGACGGGUGAGUAACGCGUGGGUAACCUACCCUGUACACACGGAUAACAUACCGAAAGGUAUGCUAAUACGGGAUAAUAUAUUUGAGAGGCAUCUCUUGAAUAUCAAAGGUGAGCCAGUACAGGAUGGACCCGCGUCUGAUUAGCUAGUUGGUAAGGUAACGGCUUACCAAGGCGACGAUCAGUAGCCGACCUGAGAGGGUGAUCGGCCACAUUGGAACUGAGACACGGUCCAAACUCCUACGGGAGGCAGCAGUGGGGAAUAUUGCACAAUGGGCGAAAGCCUGAUGCAGCAACGCCGCGUGAGUGAUGAAGGCCUUCGGGUCGUAAAACUCUGUCCUCAAGGAAGAUAAUGACG